Cricetulus griseus (Chinese hamster) is the source of this 127-nucleotide small nucleolar RNA. Lineage: Eukaryota; Metazoa; Chordata; Mammalia; Rodentia; Cricetidae. The record is from Ensembl.
CUAGAGUCAGUCAUGCUCAAGUAUCAGUUGUUGCCUUAGUGUGCUAGUGUCCUCAAAGAAUAACUGCUGACCUUAUUUACUGUCUGUGGGCUUUCUGACACAGUCAGUCACAAAAAAAGAAAAGAAA